CCUACGGGAGGCAGCAGUGAGGAAUAUUGGUCAAUGGGCGCAAGCCUGAACCAGCCAAGUCGCGUGAGGGAAGACGGCCCUACGGGUUGUAAACCUCUUUUGCCGGGGAGCAAGCCUUAGCACGUGUGCCCCGUCGGAGAGUACCCGGAGAAAAAGCAUCGGCUAACUCCGUGCCAGCAGCCGCGGUAAUACGGAGGAUGCGAGCGUUAUCCGGUUUUAUUGGUUUAAAGGGUGCGCAGGCGGGCUGUUAAGCCGGCGGUAAAAAUUCAGGGCUCAACCCUGUCGAGCCGUCGGAACUGGCAGUCUGGAGUGGGCGAGAGGUAUGCGGAAUGCGUGGUGUAGCGGUGAAAUGCAUAGAUAUCACGCAGAACGCCGAUUGCGAAGGCAGCAUACCGGCGCCCAACUGACGCUGAGGCACGAAAGCGUGGGGAUCGAACAGGAUUAGAUACCCCAGUAGUC
RNAcentral lists this ribosomal RNA (459 nucleotides) under uncultured bacterium. RNAcentral describes it as "partial 16S ribosomal RNA". It matches the Rfam family "Bacterial small subunit ribosomal RNA", at positions 338 to 795 of the family's 1533-position model. The record is from RNAcentral.